GCGCCAGUAGCUCAGCUGGAUAGAGCGUCGGCCUCCGGAGCCGAAGAUCGCAGGUUCGAAUCCUGCCUGGCGUA
Molecule: transfer RNA, 74 nt
Filed under: Chitinispirillum alkaliphilum
Lineage: Bacteria; Pseudomonadati; Fibrobacterota; Chitinispirillia; Chitinispirillales; Chitinispirillaceae
Description: tRNA-Arg
Rfam family: tRNA
About the family: Transfer RNA (tRNA) molecules are approximately 80 nucleotides in length. Their secondary structure includes four short double-helical elements and three loops (D, anti-codon, and T loops).
Source: RNAcentral